Molecule: ribosomal RNA, 686 nt
Filed under: uncultured Bacteroidota bacterium
Lineage: Bacteria; Pseudomonadati; Bacteroidota
Description: bacterial SSU rRNA
Rfam family: Bacterial small subunit ribosomal RNA
Source: RNAcentral
AUGCGUAACAUUAGCUAGUUGGGAGGGUAACGGCCUACCAAGGCAACGAUGUUUAGGGGACCUGAGAGGGUGACCCCCCACACUGGUACUGAGACACGGACCAGACUCCUACGGGAGGCAGCAGUGAGGAAUAUUGGUCAAUGGGCGAGAGCCUGAACCAGCCAUCCCGCGUGAAGGAAGAAGGCGCUAUGCGUUGUAAACUUCUUUUUCAGGGGGAUAAAAUUCUGUAUGUAUACGGAACUGAAGGUACCCUGAGAAUAAGCAUCGGCUAACUCCGUGCCAGCAGCCGCGGUAAUACGGAGGAUGCGAGCGUUAUCCGGAUUUAUUGGGUUUAAAGGGUGCGUAGGCGGAAGAAUAAGUCAGUGGUGAAACCCUGCAGCUUAACUGUAGACUUGCCAUUGAUACUGUUUUUCUUGAGUAUGGUCAAGGCAGGCGGAAUGUGUAAUGUAGCGGUGAAAUGCUUAGAUAUUACACAGAACACCGAUAGCGAAGGCAGCUUGCUGGGCCGUUACUGACGCUGAUGCACGAAAGCGUGGGGAUCGAACAGGAUUAGAUACCCUGGUAGUCCACGCCGUAAACGAUGAUCACUAGCUGUUGGCGAUACACCGAUCAGCGGCAAAGCAAAAGCAUUAAGUGAUCCACCUGGGGAGUACGGCCGCAAGGCUGAAACUCAAAUGAAUUGACGG